Molecule: ribosomal RNA, 459 nt
Filed under: uncultured bacterium
Lineage: Bacteria
Description: partial 16S ribosomal RNA
Rfam family: Bacterial small subunit ribosomal RNA
Source: RNAcentral
CCUACGGGGGGCUGCAGUGAGGAAUAUUGGUCAAUGGGCGGAAGCCUGAACCAGCCAAGUCGCGUGAGGGAAUAAGGCCCUACGGGUCGUAAACUUCUUUUGUCGGGGAACAAAGGCGGAGACGCGUCUCCGGAUGAGUGUACCCGAAGAAAAAGCAUCGGCUAACUCCGUGCCAGCAGCCGCGGUAAUCCGGAGGAUGCGAGCGUUAUCCGGAUUUAUUGGGUUUAAAGGGUGCGCAGGCGGGAGAUCAAGUCAGCGGUAAAAUGUCGGGGCUCAACCCCGGCCGGCCGUUGAAACUGGUUUUCUAGAGGUGGAGAGAAGAAUGCGGAAUUCGUGGUGUAGCGGUGAAAUGCAUAGAUAUCACGAAGAACUCCGAUUGCGAAGGCAGCAUACCGGCUCCAUACUGACGCUGAGGCACGAAAGCGUGGGGAUCGAACAGGAUUAGAUACCCCAGUAGUC